Molecule: ribosomal RNA, 492 nt
Filed under: uncultured bacterium
Lineage: Bacteria
Description: partial 16S ribosomal RNA
Rfam family: Bacterial small subunit ribosomal RNA
Source: RNAcentral
AGUGAACGCUGGCGGUAGGCCUAACACAUGCAAGUCGAACGGCAGCACAGUAAGAGCUUGCUCUUACGGGUGGCGAGUGGCGGACGGGUGAGGAAUACAUCGGAAUCUACUUUUUCGUGGGGGAUAACGUAGGGAAACUUACGCUAAUACCGCAUACGACCUACGGGUGAAAGUAGGGGAUCUUCGGACCUUGCGCGAUUGAAUGAGCCGAUGUCGGAUUAGCUAGUUGGCGGGGUAAAGGCCCACCAAGGCGACGAUCCGUAGCUGGUCUGAGAGGAUGAUAAGCAACACUGGAACUGAGACACGGUCCAGACUCCUACGGGAGGCAGCAGUGGGGAAUAUUGGACAAUGGGCGCAAGCCUGAUCCAGCCAUACCGCGUGGGUGAAGAAGGCCUUCGGGUUGUAAAGCCCUUUUGUUGGGAAAGAAAAGCAGCAGGUUAAUACCCCGCUGUUCUGACGGUACCCAAAGAAUAAGCACCGGCUAACUUCGUG